AAUGGGGGCAACCCUGAUCCAGCCAUUCCGCGUGAGUGAAGAAGGCCUUCGGGUUGUAAAGCUCUUUCGGCAGGAACGAAACGGUGAGGGCUAAUAUCCCUUGCUAAUGACGGUACCUGAAGAAGAAGCACCGGCUAACUACGUGCCAGCAGCCGCGGUAAUACGUAGGGUGCGAGCGUUAAUCGGAAUUACUGGGCGUAAAGCGUGCGCAGGCGGUUUUGUAAGACAGCUGUGAAAUCCCCGGGCUUAACCUGGGAACUGCGGUUGUGACUGCAAGACUGGAGUGCGGCAGAGGGGGGUGGAAUUCCACGUGUAGCAGUGAAAUGCGUAGAGAUGUGGAGGAACACCGAUGGCGAAGGCAGCCCCCUGGGUCGACACUGACGCUCAUGCACGAAAGCGUGGGGAGCAAA
Molecule: ribosomal RNA, 410 nt
Filed under: uncultured bacterium
Lineage: Bacteria
Description: bacterial SSU rRNA
Rfam family: Bacterial small subunit ribosomal RNA
Source: RNAcentral